UGCUUGGAAAGUCCUUUUUAAGGUGACUAGAAAAUAUAAUUGGCAACAAUUUAAAGGAGAAUAGGCAUUUCAGAACAGAACAUACAAAACACAUUUUAGAAGUCCUUAAAUUUACAGACAUGAAAUUCAUAAAACAAAGUUUUAUGUGAGAGAUAAGGAGAGGAAGUAGAAUAUAUUUAUCGAGUAGUAUAGGUAAAAGGAGC
Molecule: non-coding RNA, 203 nt
Organism: Pelobates cultripes (western spadefoot toad)
Lineage: Eukaryota; Metazoa; Chordata; Amphibia; Anura; Pelobatidae
Source: the annotation of a GenBank genome assembly